This 495-nucleotide ribosomal RNA is filed under the name uncultured bacterium. RNAcentral describes it as "partial 16S ribosomal RNA". It matches the Rfam family "Bacterial small subunit ribosomal RNA", at positions 28 to 507 of the family's 1533-position model. The record is from RNAcentral.
GACGAACGCUGGCGGCGUGCCUAAUACAUGCAAGUAGAACGCUGAAGGAGGAGCUUGCUUCUCUGGAUGAGUUGCGAACGGGUGAGUAACGCGUAGGUAACCUGCCUGGUAGCGGGGGAUAACUAUUGGAAACGAUAGCUAAUACCGCAUAAGAGUAGAUGUCGCAUGACAUUUGCUUAAAAGGUGCAAUUGCAUCACUACCAGAUGGACCUGCGUUGUAUUAGCUAGUUGGUGAGGUAACGGCUCACCAAGGCAACGAUACAUAGCCGACCUGAGAGGGGGAUCGGCCACACUGGGACUGAGACACGGCCCAGACUCCUACGGGAGGCAGCAGUAGGGAAUCUUCGGCAAUGGACGGAAGGCUGACCGAGGAACGCCGCGUGAGUGAAGAAGGUUUUCGGAUCGUAAAGAUCUGUUGUAAGAGAAGAACGAGUGUGAGAGUGGAAAGUUCACACUGUGACGGUAUCUUACCAGAAAGGGACGGCUAACUACGUG